AAGCNGAGGAAAAGAAACCAACAGGGAUUGCCUCAGUAACGGCGAGUGAAGCGGCAAAAGCUCAAAUUUGAAAUCCCCCGGGAAUUGUAAUUUGAAGAGAUUUGGGUCCGGCCGGCRGGGGUUAAGUCCACUGGAAAGUGGCGCCACAGAGGGUGACAGCCCCGUGAACCCCUUYAAMGCCYUCAUCCCAGAUCUCCAAGAGUCGAGUUGUUUGGGAAUGCAGCUCUAAGUGGGUGGUAAAUUCCAUCUAAAGCUAAAUACCGGCGAGAGACCGAUAGCGAACAAGUACAGUGAUGGAAAGAUGAAAAGCACUUUGAAAAGAGAGUGAAAAAGUACGUGAAAUUGUUGAAAGGGAAGGGCUUGCAAGCAGACACUUAACUGGGCCAGCAUCGGGGCGGCGGGAANCAAAACCACCGGG
RNAcentral lists this ribosomal RNA (418 nucleotides) under Metschnikowia sp. (in: budding yeasts & allies). Its description in RNAcentral is "Metschnikowia sp. (in: Fungi) partial large subunit ribosomal RNA". Lineage: Eukaryota; Fungi; Ascomycota; Pichiomycetes; Serinales; Metschnikowiaceae. The record is from RNAcentral.